CAAGUCGAACGGUAACAUUUCUAGCUUGCUAGAAGAUGACGAGUGGCGGACGGGUGAGUAAUGCUUGGGAACUUGCCUUUGCGAGGGGGAUAACAGUUGGAAACGACUGCUAAUACCGCAUAAUGUCUUCGGACCAAACGGGGCUUAGGCUCCGGCGCAAAGAGAGGCCCAAGUGAGAUUAGCUAGUUGGUAAGGUAACGGCUUACCAAGGCGACGAUCUCUAGCUGUUCUGAGAGGAAGAUCAGCCACACUGGGACUGAGACACGGCCCAGACUCCUACGGGAGGCAGCAGUGGGGAAUAUUGCACAAUGGGGGAAACCCUGAUGCAGCCAUGCCGCGUGUGUGAAGAAGGCCUUCGGGUUGUGAAGCACUUUCAGUUGUGAGGAAAAGUUAGUAGUUAAUACCUGCUAGCCGUGACGUUAAUAACAGAAGAAGCACCGGCUAACUCCGUGCCAGCAGCCGCGGUAAUACGGAGGGUGCGAGCGUUAAUCGGAAUUACUGGGCGUAAAGCGCACGCAGGCGGUUUGUUAAGCUAGAUGUGAAAGCCCCGGGCUCA
This 556-nucleotide ribosomal RNA is filed under the name uncultured bacterium. RNAcentral's name for it is "bacterial SSU rRNA". It matches the Rfam family "Bacterial small subunit ribosomal RNA", at positions 58 to 611 of the family's 1533-position model. The record is from RNAcentral.